RNAcentral lists this ribosomal RNA (301 nucleotides) under uncultured bacterium. Its description in RNAcentral is "partial 16S ribosomal RNA". It matches the Rfam family "Bacterial small subunit ribosomal RNA", at positions 509 to 807 of the family's 1533-position model. The record is from RNAcentral.
CAGUCGCCGCGGGAAUACGUAGGGUGCAAGCGCUAAUCGGAAUUACUGGGCGUAAAGCGUGCGCAGGCGGUUAUAUAAGUCAGAUGUGAAAUCCCCGGGCUCAACCUGGGAACUGCAUUUGAGACUGUAUGGCUAGAGUGUGUCAGAGGGGGGUAGAAUUCCACGUGUAGCAGUGAAAUGCGUAGAUAUGUGGAGGAAUACCGAUGGCGAAGGCAGCCCCCUGGGAUAACACUGACGCUCAUGCACGAAAGCGUGGGGAGCAAACAGGAUUAGAUACCCCAGUAGUCCCUGUCUCUUAUAC